This 17060-nucleotide long non-coding RNA is filed under the name Nicotiana benthamiana. RNAcentral's name for it is "long non-coding RNA (NBEN_LNC026918)". The record is from RNAcentral. Lineage: Eukaryota; Viridiplantae; Streptophyta; Magnoliopsida; Solanales; Solanaceae.
UUCACACCCCAUCAUCAGUCGUCUCUGAGAGACGAACCAGACGACCCCUGAACCCUAAGGCGCCUCCCUCACUCACUUUGCUUGAAAACACGGCGUCGCCGGCUCCGAUGCCCGCCAAAAUAACAGCCCCGAGCCACUCGGCCACCCUGGUUACGAAUCCACUACCCGUUUGGCUCGAAUCAACCCCGAGAUUCUCGAAUAUUCAAUCAAAGAUUUGAGCCAGAUAUGAAUCAACCCCAACCGGCCCCAAAUUGAUACCAAACACUCCCCUGACCUCCCUCAUACUUAAACAGACAAGGGUUUGGUUCAAAUCCACGUAAAACUCGUCGAAUGGUGGAUCUAGGUUUCAGCGGUUCAACUGAUAUGGAGUCGUAUGAGUCAAAGUGUUUUCUAUUUAAUAUUAUAGGAUCAUUUCGGACGAAGUACGCCUAUAAUACUAACUGGAAAACAAUUUCGUAAGAAAAUGCUGUUUGAAGUCCGAAAAAUGUAAAUUGUACUAAUUUCCUUUUCUUUAUCUAUAUGUUUGUUUGUAUGGUUAAUUUUUAUCUUUCUUUAAUUUAUUUCUCAUCAAUAUUGUUCAGUAUCUUUCUCCUUCUUCAUCAGACCUUUUAUUUGGUCUAAAUUUUCUUCUAUCCAUUGUCAAGAACAUGUUAUAAGAUGUACAGUCGAUUUGAAAACUUCAUUAAAAAGUUAGUUUAUAAGGUCUUUGUUUUCUGCCAAUACAACUCGAGUCAUCUUGUUGAUCUAUUUCUAUUAUGCUCAUUAGUUGUUAACUGUCAUAUGUUAUAAUGUUCAUAAUCAAUUGCAUAAGUGUUGUCAAUUAAUUUGGUUAAAAAUUGGAAGCAGGAAUGCAGUCUAUGUAUUAGUAUGUUAUCUGUUUUGCUCGCAUUAUCAAUUCCGUCUGAUUCAUACCAUUUUGAUUGGUUCUGUGCUUAUGUAUUUGAAUUGGUGUGAAUUCGACUAGGAACAGUCAUGGCUGUUCUAGUUGGAUAUUUAGUAAUCGGUUUUGGUUUAGACCUAUAGAUUUUAAUUAACAGGUCGAUGAGUCUUUGUUUAAGGUAGUAAUUUCAAGAGAUUUCAGGGGUGAUUUGGGGAUAAAAUAGCUAGGAUAAUGAUGUAAUGAUAGUGUCUUGUUAGUGGAGUUUUAAUUAUCAAUAAUCUAAUGAGUAGUGGAGAACAAGGAGUAAUUUAAGGGGGACUGUGGGGUUUCUGUUUGACUACAUUUGGGUUAUUUGAAAUUAAGAAUGGUGUAAGAGACAUAUGAGGGAAUAUUUGUUGGGGGCUGAAAUUAAAGAAGGGGUAGGGGUGAUUAGAAAAGGUAAUAAUAAAGGUGUUGUAAUAAUAAUUAAUGGAAAAAGGGAAGAAGGUCUGGUUUUAUAUAAAUGAGAGUCAUUUUGACACUUGGGGGAGUAAGAGUUUAGAGUCAAAAAAAGAGUCUAGAGCAUUCUGACUCUAAAAAUAUUAAGAGCAAUAGAGAUGAAGUUUGAAAACAAUCUUGAGCUGAGAUAAUAGAUAGAACUGAACACAUAGAAAUACUAAAAAAAAAAAACUACAAGUUUCAUUGAUGUUUUUUUGUAGUCUUUGAAGUUUUCUACUGCUUCAAUGGAUUCAUUUUCUCUGAUUUUUCAAGUUUCUAACUUGUUGAAGCAACUCUUGACUCAUCUGGGGUAAAAGUAGACUGAAUUUGGUUAUUGAGGAGAGCUGGUUUAAGUUUGAUUGAUUUGUUUGCUAUUCUAUUGAGUCCUCUAGUAGGAUUUCACUGUUCCAAUCGUUGAAUCUGGGUUGGCUGCUACUGUUUAUUGAUGACUCCUUGCUCCUUUUGGCUUUGUUUGUCUUGCUGUUGUAACCAGGUACAUUCCCUUGAAUUCUGAUAAUUGUAGAUUUCAUAAUGAAGAUGAAAUGAGAAUUGGAAGCAUGACAUCAAAUCUGUGUUGUUCUUCUAAUAUUAUCUUCAUAAUGUUUGUAUGCUUAGCCGUCCAAUUCAAUAUAAUAUAGUUGUUUUUUUGUUGGAUUUUGCUAAGUUAUUAUGUUAUAAUUGAACUAUGGACUGUUGAGAUAAAACUUUACCAAGCAUGAAAAAGUUGCCUUCUUUUCAAUUUUCUGAAAAUUAUGUUUGUUUUAUGUUGCGUCUGGUAUUACUGCUUGGAUUCAAUGGUAUUGAAUUUAGUUUUCAGCACAAAAAUGAAGUGCUUAUGAAUUUGGCAGAGUAUUUUUAAGAUUGGGUAUGCUGUUUAUGACGGAAAGGAUCCCUUCUUCUUUUUCAUUUACUCAUAAAAAAGAAGAAGAAGCAGUUGCUCAUUACAGACAUAGAACAACGAGAAGCGACCAAACUGAAAAGAAUUAGGAAUUAACAAAUAACGGAAUGGACACUGCCUAAUUUCAAAGAACUCACGAACAGAAAAGGGAAACGAAGGAAAACGGAAAUAGGGCACCUUUCAACCGUUGCUUCUCAUGGACCCAAACCUACGAACCUAAUGGAAUUAAAUACUUUGGGUUUAUAUAUUGAUUGAAACAGAUAAAUGAAAAAGGUUAGUUUGUAUUUUUAAAUAAGGAAAAGAAAGUUUGAUUGUGGUGACUUCCAUGUAGGCUUGGAGAAUUUUAAUAAAGAUUCAAACAUCUUGUUAUUAUGAGUUUUGUGAGGAGGCUGUAAAGAAGCUCGGUUAAUUUGAAAAGUGUUUGAAUCUAAGCUUGGUUGAGUUCCGUCCAAUUUUAUGUUUGGUUUCGAUUCGAGGUUCCGGUUUGUAAUUUUGGUGUUUCAGUUCAAGGUUUGUUGCUUUAUUUAGCUCGAUUGAGUUGUAAUUUUCUCUAAAAAGUGUAUAAAUGCGGUUAAAACUUAAAAUUGACACAUAAGUUAUAACAUGUAUAAAAAUCAGAUAUUUAGCCAUUACAACAAUUUAAGCGACUGUGCUAGAACCACGGGAUCCGGGGGUGUCUAACACCUUCCCUCGGAUCAACAGAAUUCCUUACUUAGAAUUUCUUGUUCGCAGACUUUAUUUGGAAAGUCGAAUAUUUUCCUUGAAUUGGGAUUCAAAAUAAACCGGUGACUUGGGACACCAAAAGCUAAACCUUUCCCUAGCGGCGACUCUGAAAUAAAUAAUUGUGGAUAUUGUCACUUAAAUUGGUAAAACUUCCUUACGCAUUACCCCCGAGGUAGGCGCGCCAAACGGAGGUGUGACAAUUGUUUGAAUUUAAGUAGCAAAUAAUUUCAACAAUUAAUGAGUAAACAACUGGAGUAAAAGCAACCAAGGUUGUGUCCCCUUGAAUGUAGUGUAAUGUCAACAUGUGUUAAUAUGACAUAUUUCUAAUGGAAAGUUCUUUAGAUAUGCAAAUGAUAUCUAAAGUACUACCCACUAUUUCCCAAUAAAUGAGUAGUAUUUCUUCUUUAUGAUUUUUCCAAAUAUAAAAGAGUUGCACUUACGAACCAUCAAUAAAUACCAAUUAAAACCCACUUAUUCCUAAGCGAUUUUAUCAAACAAGGUUUAAAGCCUUGAGUCAUUGAUAUUUACUUUUACCAAAUCCUAACCCAUUUUCCCAAGCAAAGCAAGAAUUUAAUGGCUUUUGUUAAUGUUUGCAACCACCAACAAUAAAGAAUGAAUGAGAAGUAAAUAAGUAUUAACCAACCCUUAUAUAUAUAUUCAAUGUUAAACACCCACUAACGUACAACCCAUUUAGGGUCCACAACCUUAGUAUUUAAAACUAACAACACUUGCUAAAAUAUAAAAAUCAACGAAUAUUAAAUGUCAUAAAUUCUUACAAAGAAGAGAUUCUUCACACAGAAGCUUCGAAAAAGAGGGAAUAUUAAUACCUCAGAAUGUAGCUCAAAAGUAAGACAAGAUGAGCCCACAAAGGUCUCUUUGAACUAUUUAUAGAGGGUACAAUUUCGGGACUGAAAAUGGAUAAAUUUGCCCUUUCAGGUCACGUAUGCGAUUGCAGACUUGUCGUAUAACAGGUCUCCGGUCCGCAUUUUGAGGAACCUCUCUGCAGAUCCAAAAUCCUAGUUGUCAGGCCUUCAUCGCAGUUCCAUUCUGCGGUCCGCAUUUGAGUUAUGCGACCGCAGAUUGCAUCGCAUAUUUGACCCUGAGUUUUAUUCUUGUUCAUUAUGCGGCACAUCUGCAAUCCGCAUAUCGAUUCUGCGAUCGUUGAUUGCGCCACAAGCUAGAACCUAAGCAAUUAGUAUUGAAAUGUGCCGAAAUUCUCUAGCACAUCAACACCUCCAACUUAAACUCUUGCUUGUCGUCAAGUAACUAAUACAUUCUUAGCCUAUUCUAAACUCUAUUCUUCAAGCAUGCAUUUACAAUUUCUUCACCCUUCCUAGAUUAGAAGUAUGCACACAGAAAACUAGUCAAUCCUGUGAACUCUGAGCCUCAAUAUUGUGACUAGAUGUUACACUCAGCUGAGUGCACUUUCAUUUGACUCAAAAAACUAAACUUCAAUUCAAUUCCACAAUUCAUAUAUCCUUACCAGAAAUAAUGUCCCAGAAUCACAAUAUUUACAAGGACGGCAAAGAGGGAUCAUUUACAAACACACUCACUCUCAGAAAGAACUUCAAGUGGUGUAACAUGUUAUACCAUAGGCUUGCCCUUAUUUUAAUUCUCCGUUUAUUCAAGAAUGUUCGGUUGGAUGUCUCAUAAGGGCUUAUUGGCUUGUAAUGUAAGUUCAGGGAUGGGUUGGAUAAACAUUUGGGUACAAGUGAUUUCACUCUCUUUGAACACUAAUCAUAUUUUACCAUUACUUUGCACUCCUUUUCAAACUUCUAUAUCUUUGUUUUCGUCUAGCCUCCGGUAUAGAGCUAAUUUACAUAACUUUUCAUUGUUGUUCAAGACUCCCAAUUUUGUAAACAUAAUCAAUAUUAUAUUUUUCUUUCUUUUUAAUUUUCUUCUCUUGCUUUUGGUUAUCAUUUUUUUUGGAGCUUGAACAAUUUCACAAACUCUUUUGAGGCAUGAUGCCCUAAACUCACAUACAACCUUAACGAUCUUCCACUAUGACCUUACCCCCAACUUAAACUUAUAGCCUCGUUCUAAAUAUUCAAAGAGGGACGGGUUCAAGAGAGGGAAUUGUUUUUCAAAACUGGAAAGGUUUGUAAUGAGUUGGCAAAAGAAAGGUUAAAAAGGCUCAAGUUUGGUGCUAGUGGUAUCUUUUAUGUACGGGUAAACUUGGAAGGCUAAAGAAUUUUUUCACAUAAUCACCACGAAUGCCUAAGAUUAUUUCUCAAACCAAACAUACUAUCAUUAGCAUUGAAAGACUAACCGGGUAAGUUUUAGAUGAUAGAAGUAAAGAUGAGAAUUAUAUACAAACAUAGAACUCACACACACAUGGUACAUGAACUGCUUCAUUCAACAUUAUUUGACACUUCCGAGUAACCAUUCUGCAAGUCAAAGCUUUCAUGAUAACGACAAGUAUAAUUCUGGGUUGCCAUAGAGUCAUAAAGCGAGCCUCAGAUUCAAAGAAUUAUCAUAGAGACAAAUUCCCUUAAGACAGUCAUCAAACUAUUCAUCAAUGGAGAAGUCAACAAGAAUGACUAUAGGAGGGUAUAUCUAUAUACAGACACACAUGCUAGAUUCUACGCAAUUACACCAAACAUGUCGCAAUGAUUUACACCUAAGAUCCUGAUUCUACUAUUACACCCUUGGAAAAGAACCAGAAAAAGAAAAACCAAGGGGAAUUAAUUCAUAAAUUGAUAUUUAACAAAUACAAACUUAACAACAAACAUCAAAAACCAAAAUCAUAACAUCACUGAUAUACCAAAGCUAUACCAAUGUAGACAGAUACAUGAUACGCAUAAGUACAUGAGCUUCCAGCUAUAUACACAACAAAAAUCAUACAAUGUUACCUGCCUACCCCCAACUGAAAAUCAUUCAUUGUCCCCAAUACUUAAAAGAAAAGAGUAGAGUUUGAGGGGAAGUUCCUUGAGGUUCACUAAGUGUUAUGGGAGACGGCAACUGGCUGAGUGCCGGAGGGAUCGCCCUCUAAUGUGGGUGUGAGAACUUGCACUGGCUCAGUCGAGAGUGUGAUCUCCUCCGCUGGUGGUUGCUCUGAGGUAGGGGAAGGAACUGGCUGUGGAGGUGGUACUGAUGCUUGAGGGACAAUAUCAUCGGUUGGCACCUGAGAGCUACUGGAUGCACCCGUUGUAGAUGGGAUGCUACAGGAGCUGUAGGACCUCUUCUAUCAAUCAAAGAUCUUUGUAGGGAAAUCUUCAUAAGUGCCCUCUCUACCUCGUCUGCAUCAGCAUCCUCAAUCUCAUCAUCCUGAGUAGAAAUCUCAGCAACCGUCUUCCCUUUAUCAAUAAGCUGAGGGGCUUCGUCAAUGGAGAACCCCACACUAUCUUCUUCCUCAUCCUCUCUAUCACCCUCCAACUUAGCCGAACUACCGAUCUCCCCAUGAGAAGCAAUAUCAAUAGGACUAGCGGGAGCUAUGGUAUGAGAGCCUCCGGGAGUAGGAACCACAGGAUCCAUCAUCAAAUUCGUGAAAUCAAGCCCCAAGUCUGGAGUUGUGCACGUACCUUGAUCACCUUCCAAGGGAAGGAGGGAUGAAAGAUAGAAUUCCAAGUUUUGCAUCUUUUAGAAUUCGACCUUCAUAGAGGCAACCUCCUUCUUGAGGUCGGGAAGGCCACUCACUUUACCUCUUUCAAAUUUCUCCACCCGCAACUCAAUUCCCUUUAGCCGUUCUGCAUACACUGAUUUAUUUUACUGAAUAUUUGUCAUGGCCUCUUGCAUGGGAGAGGGCUUGCUUGAACAAAUUAGGAAGAGUCUUCAGAAGCUGGUCAACUUUAGCAUUUGCAUGUUGGGCCAAUAUACCAAGCUUCGAGACUGCUGGAGGAGCAGUGGGGUUUGAGCAGUGGUAGAUGUAGGGGCAGUCCGAGGAGUGGAGGACUCUGUAGCAUCGGCCUGAGGAGUGAGAGAAGGUUGGUGUUGAUACCCAAUUUUUUCCAUAUAUGUCUAUACUCAAAAUAUAACCAAAAUAUCAUGUAGAUGCAUAUAUAAGCAUUCACAAAGAGUUUGGUAUUUUCCCACAUUUUUAAUGAUUUUAAAAAUCAAAUCCAAUAUUUAUUUCCAAAACUUGUUAUUUUGGUGAAUAAUUUAUUUCACUAUCACAUUUAUAUCAAAAUAUAAUUUUCAUGAUUUUUGCAUUUUUUUACAAGUUCAUUUGGUAUUUUUAAACAAAAAUUGCAUAAAAUUGAAAUUUUAGCCUACUUCUUGAUUUAAUAAGCAUUUUAGCUACAUAAUCAUUUCUAACAUUUUUAAAUUAAUACUUAUGCAUUGUUUAUUAAUUUGGUAUUUUUAAUUUGAUUUUAAACACCAUUUACUAUUUUAUAAUAUUAAAUGGGUAAAAUUAGCUAUUCAAAUUAUACCCUCUUUUUUAUUUCAAUUAUAGCCCAAAUUCACCCCAAAUCCCAGCCCAAUUUAAACCCUCAAAUACACUACGAAAAUUGAUGAAUUACCCGACCUAGACCCAUUUGAACGAACUCGCCCGGACCCUCUUUUAAAUCGUGGUCGUUGAUUGUUUGAAUCAACGGCCCAAAAUCACCCUUUCCUUUUUAAGCCCAAGAUCCCCCUAACCAUAAAUAAUUUACACCAAAUGAGCCGCCCUUGUAUCGCCUUACCCCUAAACGCUCUCUAGCCCUUUUUGAACCCUAGCCUUCCCCGACUCCGUUUAACCGGCGCUUAUGGCUUCCCCAAGCUUUAAAACACCUAUAUCCACAACUCCUCACCUCCUAUGGAUAUUGGGUUCGAAUAUCGGAACCCUAUCUCGAAGGCUGUCAACCUAAAGUUCCUUCGGUGUGAGUUGUGUAGCCGUGUCCGGCCUUUUCUGGCGAGAGUUGAGGCUGUGAGUCCUUCAUCAACUCCGAACCAUUCCACUUCAGGAUUUCUCGCUAUUUAGGCCGGCAGAAAGCCAAGGCUAAAUUAUAAAGUCUCAUCUGCUAUACUUGUUUACUACUCAAGUUUGCAACUGGUAGGCUCUUAAUUUAUAAUAUCAACCUCCAAACUACAUGUUUACUCAAUCAUUUCCCUUGUUUGUUUAUGAUUGCAAUUUAAGUUCAUGCAUGCUCUAACCCCUUUCCCGUUUUUUGCUUGUCUAUUUAUGAUUUCAACUUAAGUUCAGCAUGCUUAAUCCCCUUUCCCAUUUCUCUUGUCUAUAUAUGAUUUCAGUUUAAGCUUCAGCAUGCUUAAUCCCCUUCGCCAUUUCCCUUGUCUGUUUAUGAUUUCAGUUUAAGCUUAUGUAUGCUUAACCCCCUUCCCCAUUUCCCUUGUUUGUUUAUUGUUCAUUAUUAUGGCAUAAGUUCAUGUAAAUCCCUUUCCCUCUAAUCACUUUAGUUAAUUCUAUUUAUUUCAAGUGUUACUAUGUAGGCGAGUUAUGUUUUAGGCUAGGGUGGAAUCUCAUUGCCACUCCUAGUUUAGAAUUAGGUUGUUAUGAGCCAUAUUAUUUGUUUGAGCUUUGACAAAGGCGUGUUGGUGUCCUAAUCACCAUACAGGCCCUAGUAUGACUUGUUUGCAAGUCUACUCUUGCAUGUUGAACCAUGUAAGAGGUUAGGGGUGUGCCAGUCUCACUUCAUGGCUAGGUAUGACCACCUCUAGCAUUGAUUUUCCUAUAAUUCCUCACUUUUACACUUAUUGUAAAUUCUUUAAGUCCUACCCCCCUUUGGCAAGCCAUGCUUAGGGACCCUUGAGUCUCCUCUGAAUUUUGAUGCCUUACGGCUGGUAAUUCCACACUUGCACUACACCAAUUGCUUAGAGUGUAAGCAUUGCAUGGAUUUCCAUGAAAGCUUUUGGAACUUUGAAACUGAAAUCCACAGAUUUGUGAGCCUGGAUUUGGUAAGAAAAUAUGUUGGACAUUAAAGUUCCUUUGUGCUUCUUCGGGCCUGUUUUAGUUAUUUAUGUAUUUAUUUUAUUUCUUUCAAUGUUUUAUUGUCCAGGGUUUAUAAGAAAUUUGUAUAAAAGAACUCGGGGAUAUAGUGAAAAGGGAUAUGGGAGGGGUUUUACUUUAAUGCAUCAGUUAAUGGUAGAAAUUAUGCUUAUGUGGUUUACCUUAUCGCAAUCUCAUAUAGAAAGCAUGCCUAUUGGUUUUCCAUGCUACAUUUCAAUUGAAAUUAUGGAUAUAAGGUUUCAAUAAUACAUCUCAUACAGAUACCAUGUCUAUAUGUUUACAUUAUCGUAAUCUCAUAUAGAUAUCAUGUCUAUAAGGCUUUACAUUACUGCAUCUAUCAAUGAUAGAAGCCAUAUCUAUAGGGCAUACAUUAUCGCAUCUCAUAUAGAAACCAUGCCUAUUGGUUUCAAUGUCAUAUUUCAUGUGGAAACCAUGCCUAUAAACAUUCAUCAUUGCAUCUCGUAUAGAAAGCAUGCGUAUAAGAUCUCAAUGUUGCAUCUCGCCUAGAAAACAUGCCUAUAGAAAUUGCAUAAACGCUAGGCGAACAGUAGGACGUUUAAAUGUAUAAAAAUAGUAAAAAAGGGUUAGUUUGUAUAUUAUGUCCCAAAAUCGCCUAGUAUGUUUAAAACGUGUUGACGCAAUUCGACCCAAGUCUGUCUAUUUUCAAAAUCGGGCCCAGAUCCGGCCUUUUUGCUAUUCUAAACCUAUAAUGCUCUUCUUCAAAUGCCAAACCGACAAUUUUAAAUUGCUUUGUUUUCCUGAGUUUAUACUUUAUGUUAGUUUUGAAAACAUUCUUCGUGCACCCUUUUGUUCAAACAAUGCGGCUAAUCUGCAAGCCCUUUCUGAACAUUUUUGUAACUUCAACUCUCUUUUCAGUAUACCUAUAUCUGAAACUAAUGUUCUCCAAGAUUAACUGAUUUUCAAAAAGCCGUCAAAUUCUAUCCAAAUUUUUUGUGUUAAACUAAUCUGCCCGCUCUCCUAACCUGUUUUUAAGACCAAAUCAGUAUUUGAAGUCUACUAAACUAGUUGUUGUAAAGUUAGGGGGUUUUAUCUGAGCCUUUGACUGUCUUAUGCGCAUACCUCUUAUGUGCUAUUUGUUUUGCUUGUCGUUCUAGUAUUUUCACCUUUGAAAAUUCCAUAUAUAUUCUAUCUCUCUCUCCCAUCUCAUCUGAUUAGAAGCCCUAAUACCCCAGGACUAAAAGGAUGGGAUGGGUAUUUGCAUGCAAUAAGUAAACGAUACCAACACGUUUCAAUAACUUAACAUGGAGGGAAGGGUAGAAUAUGGAGAUGAUGACUGGUGCGCUAAUGCCAUAUGCAACCCCUCUUCGAGGUGUGUGAGCAGGGUAUUGUACCGAGGUUAUCCAUAUUAUUUUCAAACCUAGGACUCCCUUUCCUUUCCUUGCUUUAUUUAAUUAUUUUUCUAAAGUAAUGUUUUUGUUUUCAAAUCCAUUCCCUCUUCUAAUUUAUUUAUAUACGGAUCUUAUUUAUCUACUUACUUCAUCUCUUCAUAAAGUCAUAUUAGCACGGCCAGGAACCACACUAGUGGAUCUUGAGGGGUUCCUAACACCUUCCCCUCGAGAUAAUCUCAAGACCUUACCCGAACUCUGGUUUUCUUUCAAAAUACUCCUCUCAUUCUUAAAAGUGUCAUAAUGCACUAUAAUCAUUAGGUGGUGACUCUUCAAAACCGAAUUCCCAAAAGGGAAUGAGAGUUGUCUUGCCCAGAAUGUCGUAAAAACCCGAUUUUGUCGCUUUUGAAAAAGGGGGCGUUGAAAGCAUGGCGAUUCUGCUGGGGAAAUAUUCUUUAAGGCUUUUACCAUUACGUGUUUUGUGACUUUAUUGCUUUCUUUAUACCUUUAUUUAUUGCUUUAAUCAUUUCUUCAUAAUAACUAACUUGUUUCUUCAUGUCUUCCUUUUUUUUCAACUAUUUUACUGCUUUACUGCCUUUACUUUAUUUCAAUUCCGUCUUAAAUUCCGGGCAUCUAUUGUAAUUAUUAUUGUAUGAACGAGAGAAUACAUGUACUUAUUUAAAUGUUAUAAUUUCAUCCUUCAACAUCAUUUUCCACUUGUGCCAAAAGUAGAAACCUUACUCCGUUUAACUGUUCAUGCAUCACGGUCAAACUUAGCCGAGUUAGUUAUGUUGUCCGCAUAAUGACUCAUUAAGGUAGCCUAAACCAAAAUUCCAUCGGGUUUCCUUAAAACCCAAACGACGCCUUCACAUUAUGUGCAUUAAUUUUGAGAACUAAAUACAAUAUUGCUAAUUACUGAUUUAAAUAGUCGAGUCUAGUGGGGUUAGGGCCUAACACUAUGUUUCAGGAAAUGAGGCAAGAGGUCCUUAGAUUCGGUAUGGUAUCGAACAUUCACCCAAAUUUACUAAGCUGGUGGGAGGAUCUCCAUGAUAGUGAUCGGGUUUUUUGUUCGCAAGCACUUAGGGGAUCUUCCUUCACUCCUGGAAGUUAGGCCAGAUAACAAGAUUGUGGAAGUUGCUACUCUAUUUUGGGAUAGUAAGUGGUCUGUCUAUCGCUUUGGGGGUAUUGAGAUGACGCCGUUGUUUGAAGAAAUUGGGGGUCUAGCCGAAAUUCCUUGGGAUAGCCCAGGGCUGCUUAUGCCAUAAAAUCGCAAAGGUAGAGGGUUCCUGAAAAUGAUAGGGCUCAAAAAGAAUCCUAAUCUGACCAGUCUAAAGGACUCCUACAUAUCCUUUGACUUCAUGUAUGAAAGGUUCGGGCAAAGAAAAUCAUACCAAACUCACAUGGACGAGUUCGCCCUAACCUUUUUAGGGCACAUACAUAGGAGAUCCUUUGUAUUCAUGUUCUGUUUCCUGGGCAUGAUUGUUUUCUGAUGAAGAAGGCUAGAGUCCAUAUAAGAUAAGCCAUGUAACCAAAGCCAUAAUGUAGGGUAUCAAAGGGUAGACAUUCAGCGUAGCGCCCAUAAUCCUCGUCGAACUGUACCCAGCCUUAGAGAAAUGUCAACAAGGGGCACCACACUUUGAAGGGUGCAAUUUGCUACUACAACUCUAGAUCAUUGAACAUCUCCAUAAGGGAGAUUAUAAACAACAUAUCAUACAUCGAGACUGGGAUGACCAUAUCCCUUUCCAUCAUCCAAAGCGAAUGCACUUCAUGCCGGAUAUGUUCGCUCGCCCGGAAGGCGCCACUGGAUGGGUGGAACUAUUGGAGAAUCUCAAAUAAGAGCAUGUACAAUGGAUGUACGAGUGGUUUCCAACUGGAGAGUUCAUCCUUUUAUGUAGGGAUGCGCCAUUCCUUGUACUCAUCGGCUUAAGAGGAACUUACCCUUAUGUCCCUCGCCGAGUCAUGAGGCAAGCGGGAAGAAAGGCGGAUUAUACCAAGGGUUGAAAAAAUUAGUCACCACAGGGCUGACUUCCAAGAUGAUGAUAUCCCGCACAGGUGUGGGGCUCAGCAUAUGUGGUAUUCCAAACUCAUUUUGGGAAAAGAAUCUAUAGAACCAGAUAGGUAUCAGGAAGAGCAUGCACCGUUUUAACCGGGAUGGUUGGAAGGCAAUCAUAUCGACUUGGAAAAAAUAGAUUUUGUCCAUGGUCACAGGGUUAUUGAUGAGAAGACUGUAGCAAAGCUCAAGAACAAUCAGCUAUGCAAACGGAUGCAAGAGUGUGAAAGUGAGCAUCGGGAAAUAUUAGAGGCCCAAGAGGAGAUAAUCAAUGAGUGCAAGGACAUGGCUGUCCGCGCAAACAACCGUUUAGGGUACUUGGAAUGGUGAUUAGUGGAGAUGGAAGGAAGGUUUCUGAAAUGGAUCAACGAGUGUCAGGAAGUUGAAGGUAGCGAAGGUGGGCACUUGGCUCGGGCAUACUUUUUGCUGGGACUGGGCGAGUUGAUGAAACUGUACGAGGGUGGCAAUGAUACCGUAUCUGGGAAAGGUCCUUCUGUGACCAAGUAUUUAGGAUUUUUACUGCUUUCUUGAUAUAAUAAGACCACUGGCCAUUAGUGACUAUUUCUCUUAAGUUCCGUUUGUUUUGACUCGUCCUAUUUUCUAUCGCUAAAAUGAGGCACUUGGUGUUAUAAGUUCUCCAAAUCAUAUCUGUCUCUAGGCCUACCUCGGGCUCGUCCUCCAUUGCAUUAACUUUCUUUGUCCGAUUAUUUGUCAACAUCUUUGUAAGAACACUUACGUUUGUUGCAAGUCCGGCAAUCACUUCAUCCCUCUCCCGAUUUUCCUUGAUCAAAUUGAUCAAAAAAGGAGAGCUGUAUGAAAUUCCUCCGAUGGCAUCUUCACAGUGCCAUGCUUGGUUGUGCUUUUUGUCCAAGAUUUGCUAUACUCGAGCAAAUGAUUUGUUCAUGAAAGAUCCGUCAGCUGCAUUCUUGGCUAUGGCUUGGUUCAUACGGUCCAAACCCAUAUAGAAUUUUUCCAACAACAUAGAAUCCGGGAAUCCAUGGUUUGGAGACUUCAGCAAGUAUAAUUUGAAGCGAUCUCAUGCCUCAUACUACUGCUCCCCCUGCAUGUACUUGAAGAAACAUAUCUUGUCCCGCAAUUCAGUCUUUUUACUUUGCAGGAACCACUUGGACAAAAACGCCCGAACAAGCUCGAGCCAUAUAUGAAAGGAGUUGGGAGGUAGAUUCUGGAGCCAUUUCCUUGCAUCCUCGGCUAGAGAGUACUUGAAGCAUCUUAACCUUAGGGCAUCAUCAGAUAUAUUGUUUUGCUUAUGAAUUGCGCACACACCCAAAAGUUUAUAAGGUAUUGUGUUGGAUCAUCAAUAGUAGAAUAUCUAAGGAACCCUUCUGCCUUAAGCAUCAGGAUCAAACCGUUUUCCACUUUGAAUGUGGCCGCUCCAAUGGCCGUAGGCGCAAUAGCAUUUGUAUCAUCAAUGUAUUCUUUUAUGUCCGCAAAAGGAUUCUCCCCCAAUUCUCCCUCCACGUCAUCUUCAUAUUCUGUGAUGUUUUCCUAUCAACACCAAGCAAGCAAGCAAGGUGUGAUGGAAUAGAAAUAAACUUAAGUAAAGUACAUACUAAAUAGUAAUUUCAAGAACCGUAUUCCCCGGCAACGGUGCAAAAAUUUGAUACGCUUAAAUUACAAUUUAAUAAAUAGUGUAAGGCGGUCGAUGUCAAAUAUAAUAACCCAAUAAGGUUGGGGUAGAAUCCCACAGGGAAUAGGUGUGAAAAGGUUACUUGUUCACUGUGUUGCUCGACUCGAGUUCGAGCUUUAUUCAGUUAAUUGUAACAAAAGAGAAUGGUGUGUGGUGACUAGAGUAUGUAUGACUGUUUGAAUUUAAGUAGAAAAUAAUUUCAACAAUUAAUGAGUAAACAAGUGGAGUAAAAGCAACCAAGGUUGUGUCCUCUUCAAUGAAGUGUAAUGUCAACAGGUGUUAAUAUGAUAUAUUUCUAAUGGAAAGUUCUUUAGAUAUGCAAAUGAUAUCUAAAAAACUACCCUCUAUUUCCCAAUGAAUGAGUAGUAUUUCUUCUCUAUGAUUUUUCCAAAUAUAAAAGAGUUUCACUUACGAACCAUCAAUAAAUGCCAAUUAAAAUCCACUUAUUCCAUAAGCAAUUUUAUAAAACAAGGUUUAAAGCCUUGAGUCAUUGAUAUUUACUUCUACCAAAUCCUAACCCACUUUCUCAAGCAAAGCAAUAAUUUAAUGGCUUUUGUUAAUGUUUCCAACCACCAACAAUAAAUGAAGAAUGCGAAGUAAAUAAAUAUCAGCCAACCAUUAUAUAUAUAUUCAAUGUUAAACACCUAUUAACAUAACACCCAUUUAGAGUCCACAACCUUAGUAUAUAAAGUUAGCUACACAUACUAACACACAAAAACCAACUAAUAUUAAAUGUCAUAAAUGCUUAUAAAGUAAGAGAAUAUUCACCCAAAAGCUUCAAAAAAGAGAGAAUAUUAAUGUCUUGGAAUGUAGCUCAAAAGUAAGACAAGAUGAGCCCACAAAGGCUUCAUAAAACUAUUUAUAGAGGGACCGAAUUCGGGACAGGAAAUGGAUAAAAUUGCCCUUUCAGGUCACGUCUGCGACCGCAUUGUUGUCGCAGAACAAGUAUGCGGUCCGGAUCUUGAGCAGCUUCUCCGCAGAACCAAAAUCCUAGUUCUCAGGUCUUCAUCACAUUUCAAUUAUUCGGUCCGCAUUUGAGUAAUGCGGCCGCAGAUUGCGUCACAUCUUUGACCCUUAGUUUUUUUCUUGUUUAUUCUGCGGUACAUCUGUCGUCCGAACCUUAGUAUUUAAAACUAGCGACACAUGAUAAAAUACAAAAACUAACUAAUAUUAAAUGUCAUAAAUGCUUACAAAGAAGACAAUCGUCACACAAAAGCUUCCAAAAAGAGGGAAUACUAAUGCCUAGGAAUGUAGCUCAAAAGUAAGACAAGAUGAGCCACAAAGGUCUCUUAUAACUACUUAUAGAGGGACCAAUUUUGGGACAGAAAAUGGAUAUGUUUUCCCUUUCAGGUCACGUCUGCAAAUGCAAACUUGUCACAUAACAGGUCUGCGGUCCACAUUUUGAGCAGUCUAUCUGAAAAUCCAAAACCCUAGUUCUCAGGCCUUCAUCGCAGUUCCAUUCUGCGGUCUGCAGAUUGCAUCGCAUCUUUGACCUUGAGUUUUCUUCUUGUUCGUUCUGCGGCACAUCUGCAGUCCGCAUGUUGAUUCUGCAAUCGUAGAUUAUACCUCAUUCUUGAAAUGGUUUUUAGGUCCAGACUCUGUAACGCUCUGCGAUUUGAGGUAUGAUUCUGCGGUCCGCAUGUGUGAUCUGCGACCGCAAAAUAGGCCGCAGAUUUGCACUUGUGCAAUAUCGUGCUCUUUUCUUAUCUUUUUGUUUCCGUUUUCAUAUUUCUGGUCUUCCAUUCCUCUUGUGCUGUAAGAACAACAAAUCCACCUGAGUAUCAGUUAUAAUUGCAUUAAAACAAGCCAGAAUCUAAACAAUAGUAUUGAAAUAUGCCGAAAUUCUCCAGCACAUCAGAAUUCAAGGAGACUUCAUUGAGGCAAAGAUUUUGGACCUAAAACUCGUUCUAAUGGUAUUAUUUCACGGAUUAGGGCUAUAAUUAAUGGAAUUUUAAGGGUUAAAUUUGGGGAAAACUAGUGCUAGUAGACUUAUGCCUUUGGUAGAGGAUUUAAAAAACCAUUUGGGGUUGUAUUUCAGGACUUUUAUAUGUAUAAACUUGUGGGUAGAUUUGAGGAAUCUACUGAAGUGAAUAUUACAAAAGCUCCGAGGCGUGGGCAUGGGGGUCGGGUUUUGGAAAUCUUGGGAUUUAUGCUAUAAAUUUAUUAUUUCGCAUGGGCUUAGUUCCCUUAGCACAUAUUGAUGUCGUGAUUCUGAAUUUUGGAGAGAUUCAACGCGAGUGGAGGCUGAUUAGUUGGGCAUAGGCAUCGCGUGCAAGAUUUUGGACGUGAUUAAGGUGAGUGAUUAUUGUAAAUGUUGUAUGAAACCAUAAAUUGCACAUCGUAUUGCUAUAUUGAGGUGAUACACAUGGUAGAUCACGAGCGUGAGAUCUUGCACUGUUGGGUGAUUGUGACUUAUGUUUGGGGUUGAAUGUCAUAUUUGGGCCUCAUGCCAACUAUUUGGACCAUGAGGUAAUUUUUAUUAAUAUUUCCUCAUUGUCUGACUUUAUACUUGUACCCAGUCAAAUUGUAUAUUAUUAUUUUCUUAACUCAAUCAUGUUUACUAUGUUUUAAUACAUCAAAUGAUAUUUAAUUGUUAAUUGUGUUGAGAAUCAUGUUUUUGUGUUGCUUGAGUGGCUUAUGAGGUUCUCAAUGAUUAAGGCCGAGAGCCUGUGUUGUGAUACUAUAAUUAUGAUUAUGAGGCCGAGGGCCUGAGACUUGUAUGCCAGGAGGUGACGUGUUUAUAUGAGGGUGGGAGCCUAGUGAUGAUGCCUCAAGAUGUUUGUAUAUUGCACAUGGGUCGUAUUGGUCCCCUCUAUGAGUCUGCACAACCCCAGUGAGCGCAGGUACAUAUUAUUAUGUGAGCUAUAGCCCGAGGGGCUGGUAUUGUUUUUGAGAUACUGCCCGAGGGGCGGAUUUAUUGACAUUGUGCUUGAUGGGCGUUCCUUUGUGUGUUUAUCUUUCCUAUUUGACUAUCUUUACUUGCUUAAUUGUUAAAAAUACACUUUUAUGAAAUUCGAACUUAACUUAGUGACUUUACACAUCUUUAUUGCUUCACUAUUAUUACUGGUUUUUACUCCUUCCUUAUUGCCUGUUAUGUGCCUUACAUGAUUUUUUAUUUUUCAGUCUUUAUUUAGAUUAUUACUCAAUGAUUUAG